This 525-nucleotide ribosomal RNA is filed under the name uncultured bacterium. RNAcentral describes it as "bacterial SSU rRNA". It matches the Rfam family "Bacterial small subunit ribosomal RNA", at positions 984 to 1509 of the family's 1533-position model. The record is from RNAcentral.
ACAUCCAGAGAACUUAGCAGAGAUGCUUUGGUGCCUUCGGGAACUCUGAGACAGGUGCUGCAUGGCUGUCGUCAGCUCGUGUUGUGAAAUGUUGGGUUAAGUCCCGCAACGAGCGCAACCCUUAUCCUUUGUUGCCAGCGGCUCGGCCGGGAACUCAAAGGAGACUGCCGGUGAUAAACCGGAGGAAGGUGGGGAUGACGUCAAGUCAUCAUGGCCCUUACGGCCAGGGCUACACACGUGCUACAAUGGCGCAUACAAAGAGAAGCGACCUCGCGAGAGCAAGCGGACCUCACAAAGUGCGUCGUAGUCCGGAUUGGAGUCUGCAACUCGACUCCAUGAAGUCGGAAUCGCUAGUAAUCGUAGGUCAGAAUGCUACGGUGAAUACGUUCCCGGGCCUUGUACACACCGCCCGUCACACCAUGGGAGUGGGUUGCAAAAGAAGUAGGUAGCUUAACCUUCGGGAGGGCGCUUACCACUUUGUGAUUCAUGACUGGGGUGAAGUCGUAACAAGGUAAGCGUAGCGAG